Molecule: long non-coding RNA, 1652 nt
Filed under: Haliotis rubra (blacklip abalone)
Lineage: Eukaryota; Metazoa; Mollusca; Gastropoda; Lepetellida; Haliotidae
Description: uncharacterized LOC124286400
Source: RNAcentral
CUCAAGUCAAUGCCUGUGCGCUGUAAACAAAGAUGGCGCGAGAACAGGUGUGUGAGGCUGUCAGAUGAGGCGCUUCGGGUACAACUGAGAUAUUAAAAGAUUUGUGUCGAGAGAUAACAUUAAACAUCGCAGGGAUGGUGAAUCCAUUUCCUUGGGGGAAGUGGUGAAUCAAGUUUCUGGGACUCUGAUGGUUGGCCCUUUUCCAGUUCCUCCUAAGGAUUCUGAAGGUAUUUUGUUUUGCAGAGGAGAAUGAUAGUGGCUUGGUAUUAUCCAAACAACUGCCAGCUUGUGAAUACUGCAUCACAGGAACCUGCUUGCAACUGAUAGAAACAGUACCAGGAUAUCACAACUUCAGCAGAUGUAGCCUGUCAUACUAUAUUCUUGUCCCAGGUUGGAAAGGAUCUGCAUUUCUGUUUCCAACAUACAUUUUAGUUGACCAACAACUCCAUUCCAUCAUAACAACCGAACCAGGGUCUUUGUGUCUUUAGCUAGACAUGAAUCAGUCUAUGUUUGUUGAGGUGGCAGAGUCCGACAGGGAAGUGUACAGCACCCCUAUAGUCCUCGAAGAGAAAGGACUGACACAGAUGUCAACUGUUGACAUAUCACUGGGGGUCAUCUUCGGCAUUUGUGGGGCUGUUAUCUUAGUGGCUGCUGCUUAUUACUUUUGGAAGAAUUAUCAGAGGCGUCAAAGAAUACUUCGAGUUUUCGGGCAGCCUCACGCUGACCCAUUUGAAGCAUUACACAGCAGCGUGGAGGAGGAGUCCUCCAUCAUCAGUUUGUAAUUGUACAUCCAUCAGUCAUUUCUACAUAAUAUUUACCAUUAGCACAGUGUCCUUCUCUUCAUAUAUUUAUAAAGUUCACUUACACAAAAGAUAAAGGAAAGUGCUAUUUCAGUGUGUCAGAAAAAGCAGCCUCCCUUAUAUACUGUGAGAACAAGGCUUAAUGCAGAAGACUUGAGUGACCUCUGAUUCACCAACAUACAUAUUUUACUAGUAUAUACUGUGAAACAUUGCACAUAAAUGAAGUGGCAUGUUAUUUCAAAAUCAUUUGAAGUGAUAGGGUGUAUUUAUGGCAUUGUUAAUAGGCUUCACUGCUGGCAAACAGUGUGAUUGCUGUGCAUCUACCUGGAGGAAAAAUCUCAAAAUAUUGCUUAACAUGUUUAUCAUUGACUUUGUCUACAAAAUUAAUGCUGACAUUGUGUCAUCUUUAGUUAUCCCAGCAAUGUGAUGAAUCCAUAUAUGUCAAGAAAUGCCUUUUGGUUUUACAGUUUUACGAGUCAUGAAAUCUGUUGACAAAAUGUCAAAUGUGUGUAUGCUAUUGCAAAUGUUUCAUACUUCGCUGUCAAGGAAUCGGGCUGAUGUUUCCAAGGUAUGAAAUCUGUAGCUGCAGGAAGAAAUUGUAAAGUAACUAUCAUGGCUAUAGAGAAGUUUAAAGGUGGCAUGUAUUGUCAAAAUCGAUUAUCGAUAUUACUACAUUAUCAUUUAUGUUGGAAAAUCAUUGAUAUCUCAUGUCAUGGUGAAUGUAAUGUUUCGUCAAUGAGAUCCAAGAUGUUUUAACUGUAUGAAAUGUAAUCUGUACAUUGUCAUAGUCAUUGUGUACUUCAGUUCUUAUGUUGAUGUAGUCAUUAAAGAAGGAACAUCCUUCAAAACAAA